This 1122-nucleotide ribosomal RNA is filed under the name uncultured archaeon. RNAcentral's name for it is "bacterial SSU rRNA". It matches the Rfam family "Archaeal small subunit ribosomal RNA", at positions 325 to 1452 of the family's 1478-position model. The record is from RNAcentral.
ACGGGGCGCAGCAGGCGCGAAACCUCCACAAUGUGGGAAACCACGAUGGGGGAACUCCAAGUGCUAACGCUAUGCGUUAGCUGUUCUUAUGUGUAAAAAGCAUGAGGAGAAAGAGCCGGGUAAGACGGGUGCCAGCCGCCGCGGUAAUACCCGCGGCUCGAGUGGUGCUCAUUAUUAUUGAGCCUAAAACGUUCGUAGCCGGUUUGGUAAAUUCUUGGGUAAAUAGAAUAGCUUAACUAUUCUAAUUCCGAGGAGACUGCUAAACUUGGGACUGGGAGAGGUGAAAUGUACUUUCGGGGUGGGGGUAAAAUCCUGUAAUCCUGAAAGGACAACCAGUGGCGAAGGCGUUUCACUAGAACAGAUCCGACGGUGAGGAACUAAGCCCUAGGGCGCAAACGGGAUUAGAUACCCCGGUAGUCUAGGGUGUAAACGCUGCAGACUUGGUGUUAGGUUUCCUGAGGGGGAAUCUAGUGCCGGAGAGAAGUCGUUAAGUCUGCUGCUUGGGGAGUACGGUCGCAAGACUGAAACUUAAAGGAAUUGGCGGGGGAGCACCGCAACGGGAGUAGUGUGCGGUUCAAUUGGAUUCAACGCCGGAAAACUCACCAGGAGCGACUAAUGGAUGAAAGCCAGGCUGAUGACCUUGCUUGAUCAUUAGAGAGGUGGUGCAUGGCCGUCGCCAGUUCGUACCGUAGGGCGUUCUGUUAAGUCAGAUAACGAACGAGACCCUCGCCCUUUAUUGCUAUCUACCUCUCCGGAGGUAGAGCACUUUAAGGGGACCGCUAACGCAAAGUUAGAGGAAGGGGAGGUCUACGGUAGGUCAGUAUGCCCCGAAUCUCCUGGGCAACACGCGCACUACAAAGAUUGGGACAAUGGGAUUCAACCUCGAAAGGGGAAGGUAAUCCUUAAACCCAACCACGGUUUGGAUUGAGGGCUGUAAUUCGCCCUCAUGAAACUGGAUUCCGUAGUAAUCGCGGAUCAACAUUCCGCGGUGAAUGUGCCCCUGCUCCUUGCACACACCGCCCGUCAAGCCAUCCGAAUUGGGCCUGAGUGAGGGCUAUUCUAUGUGAAUAUUUCGAACUUGAGUUCAGUAAGGGGGGCUAAGUCGUAACAAGGUAGCCCGUA